GACGAACGCUGGCGGCGUGCUUAACACAUGCAAGUCGAACGGAAAGGCCCUGCUUUUGUGGGGUGCUCGAGUGGCGAACGGGUGAGUAACACGUGAGUAACCUGCCCUUGACUUUGGGAUAACUUCAGGAAACUGGGGCUAAUACCGGAUAGGAGCUCCUGCUGCAUGGUGGGGGUUGGAAAGUUUCGGCGGUUGGGGAUGGACUCGCGGCUUAUCAGCUUGUUGGUGGGGUAGUGGCUUACCAAGGCUUUGACGGGUAGCCGGCCUGAGAGGGUGACCGGCCACAUUGGGACUGGGAUACGGCCCAGACUCCUACGGGAGGCAGCAGUGGGGAAUAGUGCACAAUGGGCGGAGGCCUGAUGCAGCAACGCCGCGUGCGGGAUGACGGCCUUCGGGUUGUAAACCGCUUUCGCCUGUGACGAGGCGUGAGUGACGGUAAUGGGUAAAGAAGCACCGGCUAACUACGUG
This 468-nucleotide ribosomal RNA is filed under the name uncultured bacterium. Its description in RNAcentral is "partial 16S ribosomal RNA". It matches the Rfam family "Bacterial small subunit ribosomal RNA", at positions 28 to 507 of the family's 1533-position model. The record is from RNAcentral.